CUACGCCCCGUGAAACGCCGCUUGAAUACCCAGCUCCCCUACUCUUCCCGCUCUUCCUCUGAGGUUUCCUCACACCUCUCCUGCGAUCGCUAGUGGCGCUUGAUACCGUCCUGUACCGCCUCAGCUGCGACGUCCGAGCUCACGAAGGCGACGUAGAUCUUAUCUUGUCUCUCCCUCUGUUUCGCCCUCUUCUCUCGUUUACGUGCGAGCCUUUGAUCUUAUUCUCCGCUUCGAUCUUCUUGCUUCUGAGAUUUUCUUAAAGUCAUCUCCUAGAUCACCCAAAUUCUGUUCAGGAUCGGAAUUUCUAGGGUUUUCAGUGAAAACCCUGGCAUCGAAACUCCAAGAUUCUUGGUUUGAUUGCUCUGAAUUUUCGUGAUCAGGUUCGUCGCAUCUGUAUGGCAUCGAAACUCCGAGAUUCUUUGUUUAAUUUUUCUGAUUUUUCGUGAUCGGGUUCGUGGCAUCUGUAUCUGUGGCGAUUCUGGAUUCACGGCGUCCUCCAGGGACAAGACGAUUAGGUUCUGGACCCCGAACCUGGACCAAAAGCACCGAUACGUUCCAUGGAAGACUUGCUGGGCUCUCCAGGGGAUCGUUUCGCUGGGGGGUGGGAUUGUGUCUGGAGGGAUCGACACUCUCGUGUUGCUGUGCGACUUGAGCAAGAGAGAGAUUGUGGAGACGAUGAAGGGACUUCAGUAUUAGAUCACUGGUCUCACCGUUGAUGAAAUUGGUUGCUGUGCCAUCAUAUACUGAGCUCUUGUCUUAUGGUGCAAUACAAUGGUGGUGGAAAGGUCAUGCUAUUGAGUUUUGGGAGGCUUAUAAGGUUGCUGUUCAAGCAGUUAUGAAGCAAUCUAGUGGUUUGAAUGAUACAACUCUUAAGCUGUGGGGAGGAAGGACCUGUUUAAACACUUUUAUGGGGCACACAGAUAUAGAACAAGAUGAUCUGGCAUGGACAGUACAGAGAUAGGCACUAUCUAAUGCGCCAACUGACAGAUAUUGAAGUCCUGCCCGCCUUCAGUGGUCUUUCCAGCUAUGCUAUUCUUUUGGUCGAAAUAAAGGAUACAGCCAGUGACAAGUUCUCUAUGCAGCACUUGAAAAAAUUGAUAGAUUGGAAUUAAUUAAUUUAUAUGGACACCGGCGUGACAUGGAUGCAAAACGGUGCUAAAACAAAUUAUUUAUUAAAGGACAUAUGCGGCAUUAGAACAAAAGAAUAAAGUCUUUUUGAAACAAGAGGGAUUUAAGAGCAUUAAAUGAUGUGGGACCCGUGUGUACUUAAAAGCAACAGAGGGAAAACACAACAUUGGCUGGGCGUGAGUUCAAGGAUUUAAAAUGAUGUGGGAUGCGUGGAGGACUUUUGACGUGCGGCUGGGCUUCUUCAUGUGGUUGGCACAUGGGAUUCAAACGGGCAGCAGUUCACGCGGAAGCUGGGAGCGCAUGGGGGUGUUUUGGCAGGCUUCAAAGCAAUGGAAGAAUGGACGCAUGCAGGUUCACGGCGGACAGGUUUGUUUGUGCACGGAUUAAAUGUGAGGCAGACUGAAACUCAAACAAAUGGAUAGUCACGCAGCAUGCGGAAAUGACUGCAUGCGGCAGACGGGCUUGAGAUACAGGACACACUUGGGAUGCGAGAACAAAGGCACAAUUAACACGGAUUGAAGCUCUAUUUAAAGAGAGGCGAAGAUGCACCGAAUAAUUUUUCAUCCCACCACCCGGCCACCACCAUUAUCCAUCUCUUCUCACAUCAAUUCUCUCUAUACACCUCCACCCUCUUCUCCACUUCCAUCCUCCUUCCAAGUUGCAGUUGGGCAUUUUUGCGAGCACCAGGAUUCCAGCAAUCAGCUCCAUCAUGCGCUGCUAAUUCUGUUCAACGCGAAAAAAAGAGGAAGCUUUUGUACUGAGUAGUUUGUUUUUAUUUCUCAAACUUUUGUAUUCCGUUCUUAUUGCAAUAAGAGAAAUUAUUCUCUUA
This is a non-coding RNA of Elaeis guineensis (African oil palm), 1957 nucleotides long. NCBI's taxonomy places the organism in Eukaryota, Viridiplantae, Streptophyta, Magnoliopsida, Arecales, Arecaceae. The record is from RefSeq and is a predicted model, not a curated record.